RNAcentral lists this ribosomal RNA (253 nucleotides) under uncultured bacterium. Its description in RNAcentral is "partial 16S ribosomal RNA". It matches the Rfam family "Bacterial small subunit ribosomal RNA", at positions 524 to 776 of the family's 1533-position model. The record is from RNAcentral.
GACAGAGGGUGCAAACGUUGUUCGGAAUUACUGGGCGUAAAGCGCGUGUAGGCGGCUUGGCAAGUCGGGUGUGAAAGCCCUGGGCUCAACCUAGGAAGUGCACUCGAAACUGCCUCGCUGGAGUGCCGGAGAGGAAAGCGGAAUUCUCGGUGUAGAGGUGAAAUUCGUAGAUAUCGAGAGGAACACCGGUGGCGAAGGCGGCUUUCUGGACGGUUACUGACGCUGAGGCGCGAAAGCGUGGGGAGCAAACAGG